UACGUAGGGGGCAAGCGUUAUCCGGAUUUACUGGGUGUAAAGGGAGCGCAGACGGCUGUGUAAGUCUGGCGUGAAACCCCGUGGCCCAACCACGGGCUUGCGCCGGAUACUGUGCAGCUGGGGUGCAGGAGGGGCAGGCGGAAUUCCUGGUGUAGCGGUGAAAUGCGCAGAUAUCAGGAGGAACACCGGCGGCGAAGGCGGCCUGCUGGACUGUAACCGACGUUGAGGCUCGAAGGCGUGGGGAGCAAAC
RNAcentral lists this ribosomal RNA (250 nucleotides) under uncultured prokaryote. Its description in RNAcentral is "partial 16S ribosomal RNA". It matches the Rfam family "Bacterial small subunit ribosomal RNA", at positions 524 to 773 of the family's 1533-position model. The record is from RNAcentral.